AGCGAACGCUGGCGGCAGGCUUAACACAUGCAAGUCGAGCGGGCGUAGCAAUACGUCAGCGGCAGACGGGUGAGUAACGCGUGGGAACAUACCUUUUGGUUCGGAACAACACAGGGAAACUUGUGCUAAUACCGGAUAAGCCCUUACGGGGAAAGAUUUAUCGCCGAAAGAUUGGCCCGCGUCUGAUUAGCUAGUUGGUGAGGUAAUGGCUCACCAAGGCGACGAUCAGUAGCUGGUCUGAGAGGAUGAUCAGCCACAUUGGGACUGAGACACGGCCCAAACUCCUACGGGAGGCAGCAGUGGGGAAUAUUGGACAAUGGGCGCAAGCCUGAUCCAGCCAUGCCGCGUGAGUGAUGAAGGCCCUAGGGUUGUAAAGCUCUUUUGUGCGGGAAGAUAAUGACGGUACCGCAAGAAUAAGCCCCGGCUAACUUCGUGCCAGCAGCCGCGGUAAGUCUCGCGUGA
RNAcentral lists this ribosomal RNA (462 nucleotides) under uncultured bacterium. RNAcentral describes it as "bacterial SSU rRNA". It matches the Rfam family "Bacterial small subunit ribosomal RNA", at positions 29 to 532 of the family's 1533-position model. The record is from RNAcentral.